This 548-nucleotide ribosomal RNA is filed under the name uncultured bacterium. RNAcentral describes it as "partial 16S ribosomal RNA". It matches the Rfam family "Bacterial small subunit ribosomal RNA", at positions 355 to 895 of the family's 1533-position model. The record is from RNAcentral.
UGGGGAAUUUUGGACAAUGGGCGCAAGCCUGAUCCAGCCAUGCCGCGUGCAGGAAGAAGGCCUUCGGGUUGUAAACUGCUUUUGUCAGGGAAGAAAUCCUUUGGGCUAAUACCCCGGAGGGAUGACGGUACCUGAAGAAUAAGCACCGGCUAACUACGUGCCAGCAGCCGCGGUAAUACGUAGGGUGUGAGCGUUAAUCGGAAUUACUGGGCGUAAAGCGUGCGCAGGCGGCUUUGCAAGACAGAUGUGAAAUCCCCGGGCUCAACCUGGGAACUGCAUUUGUGGCUGCAAGGCUAGAGUGCGGCAGAGGGAGAUGGAAUUCCGCGUGUAGCAGUGAAAUGCGUAGAUAUGCGGAGGAACACCGAUGGCGAAGGCAAUCUCCUGGGCCUGCACUGACGCUCAUGCACGAAAGCGUGGGGAGCAAACAGGAUUAGAUACCCUGGUAGUCCACGCCCUAAANGAUGUCAACUGGUUGUUGGACGGCUUGCUGUUCAGUAACGAAGCUAACGCGUGAAGUUGACCGCCUGGGGAGUANGGCCNCCAAGGUU